This 468-nucleotide ribosomal RNA is filed under the name uncultured bacterium. RNAcentral describes it as "bacterial SSU rRNA". It matches the Rfam family "Bacterial small subunit ribosomal RNA", at positions 329 to 795 of the family's 1533-position model. The record is from RNAcentral.
GCCCAGACUCCUACGGGAGGCAGCAGUGAGGAAUAUUGGUCAAUGGCCGAGAGGCUGAACCAGCCAAGUCGCGUGAGGGAAGAAUGUCCUAUGGAUUGUAAACCUCUUUUGUCAGGGAGCAAAGUCACCCACGUGUGGGUGUUGGAGAGUGCCUGAAGAAAAAGCAUCGGCUAACUCCGUGCCAGCAGCCGCGGUAAUACGGAGGAUGCGAGCGUUAUCCGGAUUUAUUGGGUUUAAAGGGUGCGCAGGCGGCUGGUUAGGCCGGGGGUAAAGGCCGGGGGUCCCCCCCGGGCGAGCCGUUGAAACUGGCGGGCUGGAGUUGGAGAGAAGUACGCGGAAUGCGCGGUGUAGCGGUGAAAUGCUUAGAUAUCGCGCAGAACCCCGAUUGCGAAGGCAGCGUACCGGCUCCACACUGACGCUGAGGCACGAAAGCGUGGGUAUCGAACAGGAUUAGAUACCCUAGUAUUA